This 72-nucleotide transfer RNA is filed under the name Rhipicephalus sanguineus (brown dog tick). Its description in RNAcentral is "transfer RNA glutamic acid (anticodon UUC)". It matches the Rfam family "tRNA". From Rfam's summary of the family: Transfer RNA (tRNA) molecules are approximately 80 nucleotides in length. Their secondary structure includes four short double-helical elements and three loops (D, anti-codon, and T loops). Further hydrogen bonds mediate the characteristic L-shaped molecular structure. tRNAs have two regions of fundamental functional importance: the anti-codon, which is responsible for specific mRNA codon recognition, and the 3' end, to which the tRNAs corresponding amino acid is attached (by aminoacyl-tRNA synthetases). tRNAs cope with the degeneracy of the genetic code in two manners: having more than one tRNA (with a specific anti-codon) for a particular amino acid; and 'wobble' base-pairing, i.e. permitting non-standard base-pairing at the 3rd anti-codon position. The record is from Rfam by way of RNAcentral. Lineage: Eukaryota; Metazoa; Arthropoda; Arachnida; Ixodida; Ixodidae.
UCCGGCGUGGUCUAGUGGCCAGGAUACCUGGCUUUCACCCAGGGGGCCCGGGUUCGAUUCCCGCUGUCGGAA